RNAcentral lists this ribosomal RNA (705 nucleotides) under Triticum aestivum (bread wheat). RNAcentral describes it as "partial small subunit ribosomal RNA". Lineage: Eukaryota; Viridiplantae; Streptophyta; Magnoliopsida; Poales; Poaceae. The record is from RNAcentral.
AUGCCGCUGGCGGACACGAAACUGAAGAAAAAUGACCUCCAGCCUAUCUGCGACAAGCUCAUUGCCAGGACGAAGGGCUGCAAGCUCUCCCUACUUACCCUAGAUGGGCGGCUGGACCUGAUCAGAACGGUGCUCUCGGCGAUGCCGAUCUUCCAAAUGCUUGUGCUGAUCUUACCGGCAUGGCUUGCUAAACUGAUUGACAAGGUUUGACGCGGGUUCCUUUGGGAGGGCAGCGGGGUGGCGCCCGAAGGGAAAUGUCUUGUCAGUUGGAGAACCGUCUGUAGGCCUAAGGAAUUCGGCGGGCUCGGUAUCAUCAACUUGAUGGCCCAAAGUCGCGCCCUAUGGAUGAGGUGGCUGUGGCAUUCCUGGACCGAUAACAACAAAACCUGGCAGGGACUGGAACUUCCUAUUGAUCGUACAGUGAAAUCUCUCUUCAACGCCUUUGUCGACUUCCAGCUAGGCAAUGGAGAGCGUGUUCUUUUUUGGAAGGAGUCGUGGUUUAAGGGCGUCACCCUCCAGGAUGCUUUCCCCGCGCUGUUUCAGCAUUGCACCAGGAAAAACCUCACAGUAGCGCAAGCCAUGGGGAACAACCCACUACCGGACUCGCGGUCUAUGCCUACGGCCACGGGCCGUCGGCAUAGGCCCCUAGGCCGUCGACAUAGAUCUAUGCCGACGGCAGCCGUCGGCAUAGAUCCGUCAGUCUAG